AGUGAACGCUGGCGGUAGGCCUAACACAUGCAAGUCGAACGGCAGCACAGGAGAGCUUGCUCUCUGGGUGGCGAGUGGCGGACGGGUGAGGAAUACAUCGGAAUCUACUCUGUCGUGGGGGAUAACGUAGGGAAACUUACGCUAAUACCGCAUACGGCCUACGGGUGAAAGCAGGGGACCUUCGGGCCUUGCGCGAUUGAAUGAGCCGAUGUCGGAUUAGCUAGUUGGCGGGGUAAAGGCCCACCAAGGCGACGAUCCGUAGCUGGUCUGAGAGGAUGAUCAGCCACACUGGAACUGGGACACGGUCCAGACUCUUACGGGAGGCAGCAGUGGGGAAUAUUGGACAAUGGGCGCAAGCCUGAUCCAGCCAUACCGCGUGGGUGAAGAAGGCCUUCGGGUUGUAAAGCCCUUUUGUUGGGAAAGAAAUCCAGCUGGCUAAUACCCGGUUGGGAUGACGGUACCCAAAGAAUAAGCACCGGCUAACUUCGUGCCAGCCGCCGCCGUAA
This 506-nucleotide ribosomal RNA is filed under the name uncultured bacterium. RNAcentral describes it as "partial 16S ribosomal RNA". It matches the Rfam family "Bacterial small subunit ribosomal RNA", at positions 29 to 523 of the family's 1533-position model. The record is from RNAcentral.